RNAcentral lists this ribosomal RNA (479 nucleotides) under uncultured bacterium. Its description in RNAcentral is "partial 16S ribosomal RNA". It matches the Rfam family "Bacterial small subunit ribosomal RNA", at positions 28 to 507 of the family's 1533-position model. The record is from RNAcentral.
GACGAACGCUGGCGGCGUGCUUAACACAUGCCAGUCGAACGAAGCUUGAUUACGGAUUCUUCGGGUGAAGUAUGAUAUGACUGAGUGGCGGACGGGGGAGUAACGCGUGAGUAAUCUGCUCUCCAGAGGGGGAUAGCGUUUGGAACCGAACGGUAAUACCGCAUCAUGUUUUUUGACCGCAUGAUUGAAAUACCAAAGAUUUAUCGCUGAAGGAUGGACUUGUGUCUGAUUUGGUAGUUGGUGGGGUAACGGCCUACCAAGCCGACGAUCAGUAGCCGGACUGGGAGAUUGAUCGGCCACAUUGGGACUGAGACACGGCCCAGACUCCUACGGGAGGCAGCAGUGAGAAAUAUUGCACAAUGGGCGCAAGACUGAUGCAGCAACGCCGCGUGAAGGAAGACGGUUUUCGGAUUGUAAACUUCUGUUCUUAGUGAAGAAUAAUGACGGUAGCUAAGGAGCAAGCCACGGCUAACUACGUG